This 485-nucleotide ribosomal RNA is filed under the name uncultured bacterium. Its description in RNAcentral is "partial 16S ribosomal RNA". It matches the Rfam family "Bacterial small subunit ribosomal RNA", at positions 29 to 523 of the family's 1533-position model. The record is from RNAcentral.
AGUGAACGCUGGCGGCGUGCUUAACACAUGCAAGUCGAACGAGAACGGAUUAUAGCUUGCUAUAAUUGUCAGCUAAGUGGCGCACGGGUGAGUAAUGUAUAGAUAACCUGCCCUCUAGAAAGGAAUAACAGUUGGAAACGACUGCUAAUGCCCUAUAUGCCUUUAAUACAUAAGUAUGCAAGGGAAACGCUUUAGUGCUAGAGGAUGGGUCUGUAUGGUAUCAGCUUGUUGGUGAGGUAAUGGCUCACCAAGGCUAUGACGCCUAACUGGUUUGAGAGGAUGAACAGUCACACUGGAACUGAGACACGGUCCAGACUCCUACGGGAGGCAGCAGUGGGGAAUAUUGCACAAUGGACGAAGGUCUGAUGCAGCAACGCCGCGUGGAGGAUGACACAUUUCGGUGCGUAAACUCCUUUUAUAUAGGAAGAUAAUGACGGUACAAUAUGAAUAAGCACCGGCUAACUCCGUGCCAGCCGCCGCGGUAA